Molecule: ribosomal RNA, 460 nt
Filed under: uncultured bacterium
Lineage: Bacteria
Description: partial 16S ribosomal RNA
Rfam family: Bacterial small subunit ribosomal RNA
Source: RNAcentral
CCUACGGGAGGCAGCAGUGAGGAAUAUUGGUCAAUGGGCGCGAGCCUGAACCAGCCAAGUAGCGUGAAGGAUGACUGCCCUACGGGUUGUAAACUUCUUUUAUAAAGGAAUAAAGUGAGGCACGUGUCCCUUUUUGUAUGUACUUUAUGAAUAAGCAUCGGCUAACUCCGUGCCAGCAGCCGCGGUAAUACGGAGGAUCCGAGCGUUAUCCGGAUUUAUUGGGUGUAAAGGGAUCGUAGAUGGGCUGUUAAGUCAGUUGUGAAAGUUUGCGGCUCAACCGUAAAAGUGCAAUUGAUACUGGCAGCCUUGAGUGCAGUUGAGGUAGGCGGAAUUCGUGGUGUAGCGGUGAAAUGCUUAGAUAUCACGAAGAACUCCGAUUGCGAAGGCAGCUUACUAAACUGCCACUGACAUUGAUGCUCGAAAGUGUGGGUAUCAAACAGGAUUAGAUACCCCAGUAGUC